GGGUUGGUGAUGAAUCUUCUUAUUGUUUUGAAGAGAGAUGAUGACUUAAAACUCUUGCUCAAUAGGAUUACGCUGAGGCCU
This is a small nucleolar RNA of Ochotona princeps (American pika), 81 nucleotides long. Its record names the gene SNORD115. It matches the Rfam family "Small nucleolar RNA SNORD115". From Rfam's summary of the family: HBII-52 is a member of the C/D class of snoRNAs, which contain the C (UGAUGA) and D (CUGA) box motifs. HBII-52 is encoded in a tandemly repeated array with another C/D snoRNA, HBII-85, in the Prader-Willi syndrome (PWS) region of chromosome 15. The record is from Ensembl. NCBI's taxonomy places the organism in Eukaryota, Metazoa, Chordata, Mammalia, Lagomorpha, Ochotonidae.